CCUAGGUGGCUAGGUGGUGUGGCGGGUUAGCUUUUUUUGGUUUUUGUUACAUAUUAGUAGCACAUUUUUAGCACAGCAGUCUAACUUUCCAAGAAAAAGCUGGAUUUUCCAUAUUGAAGAAUGAAAACUAAAGAUGUCCAAGUUACUUUCAAGUUUAAGGACAAACCCAGUGCAUUUUGGGAUAAAGGGACUCGUAAAAUGUGGGUGAUACAUCUAUUUGUUUUAAGUGCUAUUGUGUAUGCCGCUAGGGUGGCUAUGCCAGUCUGUGCAACUGCAAUUUCCAAAGAAUUUGGUUGGAACAAAGCAGACUUGGGUGCUGUAUUGGGUUCUUUCUUUUGGGGUUACGUUACCACACAAAUAGUGGGAGGGUACUUCGCUGAUAAAAUUGGUAGUGAUAAAGUUGUUUUUGUUGCUGCUGUCUGCUGGGGCACAUUAAUACUUUUCACGCCUACCAUUUCAAAACUACAUGGAAUUUUUGGAAGCUCUAUUAUACUUCUUACUGCUACAAGAGUUGGGUUAGGUGUUACACAGGGUGUACAUUUCCCUUCUAUUGUCAGUCUGCUUGCACAUAAGGUUCCAGAGGCCGAGAGAUCCUACCCUAUGGGUGUAAUUCUUGCUGCUGCAAAUCUCGGCUCUUUAUUGUGUGGUGGACUUGGCUCUGUUUUGCUGGAACAUUAUAGUUGGGAAAGAGUGUUUCAAGUUUUAGGCCUUAUUACUCUUUCCUGGACUUACAUAAUGUGGGUUAGUGGCAAAAAACAAAGAAGUCUUGUUUCUAUAGAUACCACCAGUCUGCCAUCACCAUCACCUAUGCAGAAAACUGAAAAUGUACCGUGGAGUCUGCUGUUUACAAAAAGUGCAGUUUGGUCUCUUAUUUUGGGACACAUAUGCCACAGUAAUUCAUUCCAUAUCAUGAUAUCAUGGCUUCCAACAUUUUUCCAUGAGCGUUUUCCUUAUGAGAAGGGCUGGAUAUAUAACGUUUUACCCUGGACGAUGUCUGUCCCAGCUAGUAUUUUUUCAGGCUGGCUCAGUGAGCGACUAAUCAAAAACAAUGUGAGUGUCACUUUCACUCGGAAACUUGCACAGUGUGUAGCAAUGGGUGGAAGCGCAAUUUUCUUUGUUUUACUUCCGAGAUGCAAGACAUUUUGGUAUGCUGUCAUCUGUUCAAUGCUUUCUAUAACGUUUCAGACAGUCCAUCAUAGUGGGGUGGUGAUAAACCCACAAGACAUUGCUCCUGCCUAUGCAGGUUCAGUGUUUGGGGUUAUGAAUGCCUUUGGUGCAUUGUCAUCCUCUUUCGGAGUUUAUGCCACAGGUUGUAUUCUUAAUACCUCGGGCUCAUGGACAUCUGUUUUUAAUUUAAUGGCUGCAUUAAACAUUAUGGGUGCCUUGAUUUUUGUCACUUAGGGAACAGCCAAGAAAGUGCUUUGAUGUAAAAAGUGUUCAGUUUAUUCGUAAUUAUUGUGCUUGAAAAGACUAUUCUUGUUAUGCAGUUUAGCAAAUAUAUUCAAACUUUUUUUAUUGUGAUUUAUUAUGAAUGUUUAGUUAGUAACUACUCCACUGUAUAUAAUCAAAAUUUAGUCAAAUAUUUUGCCAUAAGAGUUUACCUAGUUUUGCAUCAUUACAUUAGCCCCCAAUUUGAUAUAUCUCUGCAGCCAGUCAUGUAUAUAUUAACGAAAUGUAAUGUGCAAUAAUAGACAACCAUAUGUAAUACUUCACUUUUCAAUUACAGUCCCCUACCAUUGUCAAUAUUUCAAUGUUUCCUUCUCUCUAUAAAAUUGUAUAUACUUAUCAUAUUUGGUGUGUAGCUACCAUGUCUAACAUCUAAUUAUGCAAUAUUUUUCAAUAGGAAAUUUAAAUUACUUGUAUAGUUGUGUUUGACCUCAGUGACCUUGCAGUGCCUUCACUUAAUAUUAUUAUAUGUAUCACAAUACUGAAAUUACUCCCAUUUUUUUCGUAAAAAUUCAAAUAUUAUUUUACCCUCUAGGCCUAUGAAGUAUUUGUAUGCAAUAAUUAGCUAUUAAUACUUACAAUUUUUGCACAUAAAAAUAUGCAUCUCAUUUCUCUAUGUUACCUACUAUUUACUAGGUAAUAAAAACUGAAUUGAUGCCUAGUUUUAUUGGGUGGACCAAUUUUAUAAUGCACUGUUGCUACAGUAUAACAGUUGUUUAAUCUUUUCCAUUACUGUUUGCCUCUAACUUUUAACAAAGGUUUCUACUAUUAUUACAAAAGUGCCGUUCUCACUACAGUCAUAAGUUAACUCUUUUAUAUAAGUUUAAAAUUAUGUCUUUUUUUUUGUGUUAUGGUGUAUCUCUGAUCAGUUUAAAUUAAAACUUUGUUUUACGUAUUUAAAUCCAUGAAAAGCUUUAGCGUGUAGUGUCAAAUGGUCUCAAGGUGUCUGGCAUUUUUAAAAAUAUUUUAACUUAAUAUGAGAUUUUAACUUAUAUAAACAUUGGUGUUAUUUGCUGCACAG
Molecule: non-coding RNA, 2467 nt
Organism: Ciona intestinalis (vase tunicate)
Lineage: Eukaryota; Metazoa; Chordata; Ascidiacea; Phlebobranchia; Cionidae
Source: RefSeq, a predicted model, not a curated record